UACAGAGGGUGCAAGCGUUAAUCGGAGUUACUGGGCGUAAAGGGCGCGUAGGCGGUAAGAUGUGUGUGGUGUGAAAGCCCCGGGCUUAACCUGGGAAGUGCACCGCAAACUAUCUAACUAGAGUAUAUGAGAGGGUGGCGGAAUUUCCGGUGUAGCGGUGAAAUGCGUAGAGAUCGGAAGGAACGUCAAUGGCGAAGGCAGCCACCUGGCAUAAUACUGACGCUGAGGCGCGAAAGCGUGGGGAGCGAACAGG
RNAcentral lists this ribosomal RNA (253 nucleotides) under uncultured bacterium. Its description in RNAcentral is "partial 16S ribosomal RNA". It matches the Rfam family "Bacterial small subunit ribosomal RNA", at positions 524 to 776 of the family's 1533-position model. The record is from RNAcentral.